UUCAUUACCAUAUCACCCUGCAGCCCAAGACUCACUCACUGAAGCUAAGCAGGUUGUGAGCCUGGUCAGUACCUGGAUGGGAGACCACAUGGGAAAACUAGGUUGCUGUUGGAA
RNAcentral lists this ribosomal RNA (114 nucleotides) under Danio rerio (zebrafish). Lineage: Eukaryota; Metazoa; Chordata; Actinopteri; Cypriniformes; Danionidae. The record is from RNAcentral.